GGCUAAUGCCGGAUACGCAUGGAACCGCAUGGUUCCGUUGUGAAAGGCGCUGUAAGGCGCCACUAAAAGAUGAGGGUGCGGAACAUUAGUUAGUUGGUGAGGUAAUGGCCCACCAAGACUAUGAUGUUUAGCCGGGUCGAGAGACUGAACGGCCACAUUGGGACUGAGAUACGGCCCAAACUCCUACGGGAGGCAGCAGC
This 200-nucleotide ribosomal RNA is filed under the name uncultured Mycoplasma sp. Its description in RNAcentral is "partial 16S ribosomal RNA". It matches the Rfam family "Bacterial small subunit ribosomal RNA", at positions 161 to 355 of the family's 1533-position model. Lineage: Bacteria; Bacillati; Mycoplasmatota; Mollicutes; Mycoplasmatales; Mycoplasmataceae. The record is from RNAcentral.